AGAGAUUAGGCGAGUAAAGAUUUCGGUCGCUUUGUGAGGAGCUCGCUUACUAUCAGCUUGUUGGUAGGGUAGUGGCCUACCAAGGCUAUGACGGUUAGGGGGUGUGAGAGCAUGACCCCCAGCAUUGGCACUGAAACAUUGGCCAAACACCUACGGGUGGCUGCAGUCGAGAAUCUUCCACAAUGGGGGAAACCCUGAUGGAGCGAUGCUGCGUGCGGGAUGAAGGCCUUCGGGUUGUAAACCGCUUUUGUAGGGGACGAAAUUUUUGACGGUACCCUUUCGAAUAAGAGGUUGCUAACUCUGUGCCAGCAGCAGCGGUAAUACAGAGACCUCAAGCGUUAUCCGGAUUUACUGGGCGUAAAGCGUCUGUAGGGGGUUUAUUAAGUUCCAAGUAAAAUUUCAAGGCUCAACUUUGAAUUCGCUUGGAAAACUAAUAAACUGGAGUCUAGCAGAGGUGCAUGGAACUUGUGGUGUAGGAGUGAAAUCCGUUGAUAUCACGAGGAACACCAAAGGCGAAGGCAUUGCACUGUGCUAGCACUGACCCUGAGAGACGAAAGCGUGGGGAGCAACACGGAUUAGAUACCC
This 585-nucleotide ribosomal RNA is filed under the name uncultured organism. RNAcentral describes it as "bacterial SSU rRNA". It matches the Rfam family "Bacterial small subunit ribosomal RNA", at positions 188 to 787 of the family's 1533-position model. The record is from RNAcentral.